AGAGAGAGACAUGCGCGCAUAUCAAUAAGCGGAGGAAAAGAAACUAACAAGGAUUCCCCUAGUAACGGCGAGUGAAGCAGGGAAGAGCUCAAAUUUGAAAUCUUAAAGGGUUUCCCUUUACGAAUUGUAGUUUAAAGAAGUGUUUUCUGUUGAGGUUUUGGUAAAAGUUCUUUGGAAUAGGACAUCAUAGAGGGUGAGAAUCCCGUAUUUGACCUUUACUUUCAACUUUGUGAUACACUUUCAAAGAGUCGGAUUGUUUGGGAAUGCAGUCCAAAAUGGGUGGUAAAUUUCAUCUAAAGCUAAAUAUUGGCGAGAGACCGAUAGCGAACAAGUACCGUGAGGGAAAGAUGAAAAGAACUUUGAAAAGAGAAGUUAAACAGUACGUGAAAUUGUCAAAAGGGAAGCGUUUGACACCAGUGUUGUUUUUCUGAAAAUCAGUUAAAGAACUGUUUAUGCUAAGUUGUUUAGACUUUAUCAGCUAUCUGUUUAGUUUUGAGCUUUUCUUUAAUGCACUUUUCAGUUAACAAGUCAACAUCAAUUUCUUUUGCUGUAAAAAAGCUUGAGGAAGGUGGCUUGAGAUUCGUCUUAAGUGUUUAUAGCCUCUUGCCUAUGCAGUCGGAGAGAUUGAGGUCUGCAGCGUAGAUCCUUCGGGGCUAAAUGCAUUUGUGCUAAGUUAUAGCAUUUUAUAGACAACUUGUUGACUAUGAUUUGUCUUGUAGCUUACUCGCUUAUGUUAUUUUACCUACGCUUAGGAUGUUGAGCGCAUGUCUCUCUCU
RNAcentral lists this ribosomal RNA (776 nucleotides) under uncultured Neocallimastigales. Its description in RNAcentral is "partial large subunit ribosomal RNA". It matches the Rfam family "Eukaryotic large subunit ribosomal RNA", at positions 23 to 616 of the family's 3401-position model. The record is from RNAcentral. Lineage: Eukaryota; Fungi; Neocallimastigomycota; Neocallimastigomycetes; Neocallimastigales.